RNAcentral lists this long non-coding RNA (396 nucleotides) under Physcomitrium patens. RNAcentral describes it as "long non-coding RNA (PPAT_LNC014197)". Lineage: Eukaryota; Viridiplantae; Streptophyta; Bryopsida; Funariales; Funariaceae. The record is from RNAcentral.
AGGCCAUAGGAUUGCCUAACGUUGAAAAGGUAACGGACAGAGAUACUUCUCACCAAAAAGAGGGGAAUUUGGUCCCGGGUGACUAAACUCCUAGCGCCUUGAGAUUCGUGCCGCAAGUCUGGACUGAAGUCACAGUUUGGAUUGAACAAAGUAAAGGUUCAUUGGUAACUAACUAGAGGUCUGGUUGGAUGCAAAUAGCGAGUGCUGGUGAUUCUAGGUAAAGAAUUGGAACAUUACAAGUAUAUAUAGAGGUAAGAAUGAAGCCUUCUUCACUCUUGUCAAUUCCUUUCUUGCUUCUAAUUUAGAUUGAAGAGUCUCUAAUUUCUUUGUCUUUUAGCAAUAGCUAUUCCAAUUUCUUUUUUAUAUACAUAAUUCUUUAUUUUUAUUUUAUUUCUU